This is a non-coding RNA of Pseudomonas fluorescens ABAC62, 86 nucleotides long. The record is from Rfam. Lineage: Bacteria; Pseudomonadati; Pseudomonadota; Gammaproteobacteria; Pseudomonadales; Pseudomonadaceae.
UGUUAUGGCGGCUGUGCGUGGGAGACCUUCGGGUCUGCCGGGUCUUAACUCCUCGGUCUGCGAACCCGCGCACAGCUGCCACCCAA